GCGUGACAUAAGGGAUUGCCAUA
This 23-nucleotide non-coding RNA is filed under the name Arabidopsis thaliana (thale cress). The record is from RNAcentral. Lineage: Eukaryota; Viridiplantae; Streptophyta; Magnoliopsida; Brassicales; Brassicaceae.